Populus euphratica (Euphrates poplar) is the source of this 1297-nucleotide long non-coding RNA. RefSeq lists it as uncharacterized. The transcript has 4 exons. The record is from RefSeq and is a predicted model, not a curated record. NCBI's taxonomy places the organism in Eukaryota, Viridiplantae, Streptophyta, Magnoliopsida, Malpighiales, Salicaceae.
CUUUUUUUUGUUUUUUAUGGAUUAACAAAAUUACAGAUCUCCUACUCCCAUUCUCUCCCUUGCUCCAGAAAAGAGAUUGUGAGAGAGGAUUGCUGUAUUCCGAGAAUCUCACAAGGGAAUGGACAAACAUACCAGAUUCCUCUCUCUCUCGUUGCGGCGCUGGCUACCUUUUAUCCAGUUGACAUAUGGAACUCUCUCCGUUUAGAACACCCGAUGCUAUCAUAACCAUAUUCUUUGUUACUGUGCUCGUUCAUGUUGCAUGGAGUGCAUGUGAAGUUAAGCUUGAAGCUGCUCACUUCAAAUCAAUUGCUGCCCACACCACUUGUCUAUAAUUCUUGCCCUUGUUAUUCUAAUCAUAGUCCUUGACCUAGCAAUUGGGUGGUCAUUUUUUUCUUAUUAGUCUUGUUUGUUGUUUAUAUGGGCUUAUGUGAGGAAUUGUUAUAAUUGCAUGAAUUGUUGUAUAAUGCAGUGAAUUGUUGUAUAAUGCAGUUCUGCAAGCAUAUAGGGGCUUAUCCAAUGUAAUUCUGCAAGCAUAUGGUUUUUCCAAUGUAGUUAUUGAAGUAUAUGUAGAUCAUGGCAUGAUAGAAGAGUUAAAUGUUGAGUUAACUAGGUCACUUGUGUAACCUGAUGGAGCCAUUGAAGAGAAUCAUUUGUUGGUGUCUCAUUGGAUUUGUUACCAGACAGUGUUUAUCUACAAAUGAUUCUCUUCAAUGGCUCGGUCGGGUUACACAAGCAACCUAGUUGGCUUAGUAUUUAUCGCUUCUGUCAUGCUAUGACCUAUAUAUACUUGAGUAACUGUAUUAUAAAGACCAUAUACUUGGAGAACUACAUUGCAAAGAUCCCUAUAUGCUAGAACCGCAUCGUAAAGACCCAUAAGCUUGGAGAAUUGCCUUCUAUAAUGAUUCAUACAAUUAUGCUCAUUCCUCGUGUAAAGUAUAUGCUACCCAUAUAAACAAUAAGACCCAUGAGAAAAAAAAUAACCACUCAAUUAUUAGGUAAAGGAUUAUGAUUAGCUGGCUAGACAAUUAGUGCGGGCAGCAAUUGAAUGCUAUAGAUAUACACAUGAAAUUAGAGUAUGUAAACCCUUUUUGUGGUCCUAGUUUUUUUUUUUUUUUUUUUGAAAUCUCAUAUCUGUAUAUGGUUGGUGGUAAUAAAAAUACCAAAAGAUAUGGACCGCUACCAAAAUAUUAUGUAAUAUGUAUAGAUAUGGUUGCUUGGUGUGAAUGAAAUUACAUAUGCUAUUUUGACAAGUAUGAUUGUAACUUGGUUUUAACAAUCGCACCUCUCUUGGUACCUU